AUAGCUCACUGGUCGAGUCGGCCUGCGCGGAAGAUGUAACGGGGCUAAACCAUGCACCGAAGCUGCGGCAGCGACACUAUGUGUUGUUGGGUAGGGGAGCGUUCUGUAAGCCUGCGAAGGUGUGCUGUGAGGCAUGCUGGAGGUAUCAGAAGUGCGAAUGCUGACAUAAGUAACGAUAAAGCGGGUGAAAAGCCCGCUCGCCGGAAGACCAAGGGUUCCUGUCCAACGUUAAUCGGGGCAGGGUGAGUCGACCCCUAAGGCGAGGCCGAAAGGCGUAGUCGAUGGGAAACAGGUUAAUAUUCCUGUACUUGGUGUUACUGCGAAGGGGGGACGGAGAAGGCUAUGUUAGCCGGGCGACGGUUGUCCCGGUUUAAGCAUGUAGGCUGAUUGUCCAGGCAAAUCCGGAUAAUCAAGGCUGAGGUGUGAUGACGAGGCACUACGGUGCUGAAGUAACAAAUGCCCUGCUUCCAGGAAAAGCCUCUAAGCAUCAGGUAACAUCAAAUCGUACCCCAAACCGACACAGGUGGUCAGGUAGAGAAUACCAAGGCGCUUGAGAGAACUCGGGUGAAGGAACUAGGCAAAAUGGUGCCGUAACUUCGGGAGAAGGCACGCUGGUGUGUAGGUGAAGUCCCUGCGGAUGGAGCUGAGACCAGUCGAAGAUACCAGCUGGCUGCAACUGUUUAUUAAAAACACAGCACUGUGCAAACACGAAAGUGGA
RNAcentral lists this ribosomal RNA (718 nucleotides) under Klebsiella pneumoniae. RNAcentral describes it as "bacterial LSU rRNA". It matches the Rfam family "Bacterial large subunit ribosomal RNA", at positions 1137 to 1841 of the family's 2925-position model. Lineage: Bacteria; Pseudomonadati; Pseudomonadota; Gammaproteobacteria; Enterobacterales; Enterobacteriaceae. The record is from RNAcentral.